This 575-nucleotide small RNA is filed under the name Pan troglodytes (chimpanzee). Its description in RNAcentral is "processed transcript". The record is from RNAcentral. Lineage: Eukaryota; Metazoa; Chordata; Mammalia; Primates; Hominidae.
GCUUAAGGAAGUAAAAUGGCGGACCUGGCGAACGAAGUACAGACGGGGUUUCACCAUGUUGGCCAGGAUGGUCUCCAUCUCCUGACCUCGUGAUCUGCCCGCCUCGGCCUCCCAAAGUGCUGGGAUUACAGGCGUGAGCCACCGCACCCGGCUGCUACAUCUCUUUUUUUAAGAUAAAGGAGCCCAUGGAGGGUUGCAGCAUUCCAACUCAUGAGAUCUAGUUACAGAGGGACUGGAAAAGCCUGCCAUUGCUCCGCCCGUCUUUGUGUUUCAGAAGGAUAAAGGACAAAAGAGGUCAGCUGGCGGCUCCAGUCCUGAAGGCGGAGAAGAUUCUGACAGAGAAGAUGGAAAUUACUGCCCUCCUGUCAAGCGAGAAAGAACGUCCUCUUUAACCCAGUUCCCACCCUCACAGUCAGAGGAAAGGAGCAGUGGCUUCCGGUUGAAGCCACCAACGCUGAUCCACGGCCAAGCCCCCAGCGCAGGUCUGCCAAGCCAGAAGCCCAAGGAGCAGCAGCGGAGCGUGCUUCGCCCGGCAGUGUUACAAGCUCCGCAGCCAAAGGCGCUGUCCCAGACUG